CGGGCAUCAAGUGAAUACAUUUCCUUAUUCUGGGAUUAUACACAUUCUCCUCUUCUUUUUAUUCUCUUUUCAGCCUAAUUCCUCUGAAACUAGAUGCUGUGAGUUGACACUGCAAGAAGAUGCUGGUUCUAAAAUCUUCUGCAUACCUCUUUGAUCUCUGUUGAUGCAGGAUAAAUAUCAGUGAUUGGAGGCUUUUAUUUUUAAAAGGGCCUAUGUGACAAGGGAAGAGACUUACCUUUCCAGUUUUUAAAAUGAGGGUGAAAUCCAUUAAAACUGGCAGAAGAGCUGGCUCCAUAUCCACAGAAUCAACAAAGCCAAGCAGAAAUAUGAAGCAGAGAAAAAAGGAGAGAAUGUGUGCAGCUGCAUGGCAUUGAGUCCAACUCAGAACCUGCCUGCCCAUCAGGAGGAAUGAUAUGAGGAUGGAAGGGUAAAAACAGUAUGAUAGCCUCUGCCCAAUGACAAACUGAGAGUUUCUGCCGAGGAACUUUGAAGGGAGAGCAUGAUUAAACUGUAUGAAUGAAGAAAAUAAUGAGAAAGGAAGCUUUUAAGGUUCAUUUUAGACAAAAUUAAUCCUGGUCUGAGCAAUAGUCAUAGUGACAGCAUGGAAAUAUGCACUGGCACAGGUUGUGUAGGUAAGCAGAUGCUUCAUCCCUGGAGGUGCUCAAGGCCAGGUUGGAUGUGGCCCUGGGCAGCCUGAGCUGGUGGGUGACAAGCAGCCCAUGGCAGGGAGUUUGGGACUGGGUGAUCCCUUACAAGCUAAGCCAUUCUACGAUUCUUUGAAAUAAUCAUAAGCCUUCCUGCAGGGAUGUGAGGAGAAAAAUCAGUAUAUGAGUGUGGUAAGAUGACU
Molecule: long non-coding RNA, 847 nt
Filed under: Phasianus colchicus (ring-necked pheasant)
Lineage: Eukaryota; Metazoa; Chordata; Aves; Galliformes; Phasianidae
Description: lncRNA (ENSPCLG00000004793.1)
Source: RNAcentral